CUCAAGUGUGGUGAGGCCAACACAUCAGAAGACAAUUGACAUUGAAAAGAUAGUUUGUUACGCACAGUUCCAGAGAGGGGGCAUAUGCUAUGUAGGACCAUGCAGGGAAGCACCAGGGUUGGUCAGGAGGCAGAGGGAAUGAGGGAAAAAUGAAAGCAAGAGCCAUUAUUGUAGUUUCUGUAGGAAGGAACAGGUAGGGCAGGGUAAGCAGGUUCAGGAUUGGCUAGUUUGAAUAACUUCAAUGGGCUCUGAAGUGCAGAGGCUGUCUCUAGUUGUCUAUUGCCUAGCCCUGGGAUGAUCAAGACAGGGGGUAGUGGCCCAGACAGUGAGAGACCAAUAAUGAGGUGGCUGGGGUGUGAACUCUGGAUUGGUUGCAUAUGAAAGGCAUGUCCCGGCUGGGCAUGGUGGCGCAUGCCUGUAAUCCCAGUCUACUCAGGAGGCUG
Molecule: long non-coding RNA, 443 nt
Filed under: Homo sapiens (human)
Lineage: Eukaryota; Metazoa; Chordata; Mammalia; Primates; Hominidae
Description: non-protein coding lnc-SCN2A-5:1
Source: RNAcentral